Molecule: ribosomal RNA, 497 nt
Filed under: uncultured bacterium
Lineage: Bacteria
Description: partial 16S ribosomal RNA
Rfam family: Bacterial small subunit ribosomal RNA
Source: RNAcentral
GACGAACGCUGGCGGCGUGCCUAAUACAUGCAAGUUGAGCGCUGAAGGUUGGUACUUGUACCAACUGGAUGAGCAGCGAACGGGUGAGUAACGCGUGGGGAAUCUGCCUUUGAGCGGGGGACAACAUUUGGAAACGAAUGCUAAUACCGCAUAAAAACUUUAAACACAAGUUUUAAGUUUGAAAGAUGCAAUUGCAUCACUCAAAGAUGAUCCCGCGUUGUAUUAGCUAGUUGGUGAGGUAAAGGCUCACCAAGGCGAUGAUACAUAGCCGACCUGAGAGGGUGAUCGGCCACAUUGGGACUGAGACACGGCCCAAACUCCUACGGGAGGCAGCAGUAGGGAAUCUUCGGCAAUAGACGAAAGUCUGACCGAGCAACGCCGCGUGAGUGAAGAAGGUUUUCGGAUCGUAAAAAUCUGUUGGUAGAGAAGAACGUUGGUGAGAGUGGAAAGCUCAUCAAGUGACGGUAACUACCCAGAAAGGGACGGCUAACUACGUG